CUCGAUCCUGGCAUUUGGAGAGCCUUCUCCACUCAAGGUAAAUACAAGGUUGAUUGCACCGUUUGAUUUCCAGCAUACCACGUCUCUGGUAUUUAUGAGUACAGUCUGAAAGAAUGAAAAGAGUGCAAAAGACAGAGGAGGCCAUCCAGUUCCUAAGCACCUUUGUACACAAGAGAAAAAAGAAGUGGUAGUAAGUGCGCUUGUGCCAAAUUCCACCAUGAAGACACGUUCCUCUUUUGGAGAUCACAUUCUUUUCUUGCUUGAUAAGAAUCAGGAGAACUGACGGUUAUCGAAUGCCUACUACGAGCUAAGCAAUUUACAGACAUUCCUUGUUAACUUUUCACAACCAAGUCAAGGAAAUGCUGUUAUUGUAUCCAUUUUCAGAUUAAGAAACUGAAGUCAAGAAGAUUAAGGGGGGAAAAAAACCCCUUCAUUUGGUGGUACUGGACAGUUGGUGGCAGAUUUAAAUAUGUUGUGUACAACGACAAAACCAGAAUUCUUCCCAUUAUAUGUGGUUGUUCUAGCAAUGUCAACUGGGAGCUUUAAUGUCCCCUCUUGCUGCUGAUUAUCAAAAUGUAAUAAUUUUAUGCACCCCCCCCACACACACACACCCCACACAGACACACACCCCACACACAUACACAUUUGUGCUCAGCUCAGUGGUCAAGUGCAGGAACUCUGGAAUGAAACCCAAAUACUAACCCUGACUCUGCCCAGUGGACAAGGCACCCAGGCACUCUCUGACCCGGUUUCUAUUUUGUGAAAGUUAUACCAAUAGUGUUCAUAUCCUGGCUCAGGAACGGUGGUGUCUGGAGGAACACUGACUCAAUUUUAUAAAGGGAAGAGUUAUCCCAGUCUAGGAUUAAAAAUAAACCCAAUGAAGAUCUCCAAAUUGUCAUAUUGUCCUCUUGCAUUAGAAUAAAAAUUUACUAAAAUUUUAAGAGUAAAGUAAAAACUGGGGUUGUGAAUAUUUUAAACAUUAUGCAAAUAUUAGUCCUAACUGAUAUAUCAAUAAGGGUACAAUUUUUGAGUAAUAUUGUUUGUUCAGUGCUCCUGGAAAUGUUUAGACAAUGGAAAUUUAGUGCCAAGGAGGUCAAGAUUCAAAUGUAAGUCUACUUAUAGGACAGGUAGUUUUAUUUCUGCUCCAUGCCCAGGGAUUCCCUAAUCCCUAUAUAAUGAGUAUCAUGGGCCAUCCAGGCUCCCUGAAUUAGAAAAAAAAAUGUAUACUCUACAAAACACAUGACUUACUGAGAAUCAGGGAGUAGUUCAGUCAUGAACUGGAAUGUGAUCCUUUUAUUGUUGUGAUUAAAAAUUCUAAUUUGACACUGAUUCUCAGCAUUUACAAAGGACGGGGUUCUGACCCAUGGUGCAACGUGGAUAAACCUGGAGGAUUACCCUGUGUGAAAUAAGCCUCUCACCAAAGGACAAACACUGCAUG
Molecule: long non-coding RNA, 1438 nt
Filed under: Marmota monax (woodchuck)
Lineage: Eukaryota; Metazoa; Chordata; Mammalia; Rodentia; Sciuridae
Source: RNAcentral